AUAAAUUUUAUUUUUUUGUGAGAAAAUUUGAACCAACAUCGUCGAAAAUGUCUGAUGCGGCUUCUGAUGAGGUUGUGGUGCGGUUACGAUGCGGCUGUACACGUGAAUAUUGUGUUGUAAUUUUUGUCUUUAAUUAACAUGCAAAGAUCACAAAUAUUUGCAAGGAUCAUGAAUCUGCAAUAUACAAUGAAAACAAUUAUAAUCAACAAAAAAAA
This 215-nucleotide long non-coding RNA is filed under the name Trifolium pratense (red clover). RNAcentral's name for it is "long non-coding RNA (TPRA_LNC012270)". Lineage: Eukaryota; Viridiplantae; Streptophyta; Magnoliopsida; Fabales; Fabaceae. The record is from RNAcentral.